Harpia harpyja (harpy eagle) is the source of this 812-nucleotide long non-coding RNA. RefSeq lists it as uncharacterized. The transcript has 3 exons. The record is from RefSeq and is a predicted model, not a curated record. NCBI's taxonomy places the organism in Eukaryota, Metazoa, Chordata, Aves, Accipitriformes, Accipitridae.
AGGGGCUCCGGCCAGGGUCGAGCUGCGGUAAUAACGGUCACUGCUGCCUCUUUCCCUCUCCCAGAGGCCACGCUGUGGGUGCGGUUGUCCGUUCGUCCCCUGGGGAUGCCGUUGACUGCAGCAGCCUCAGGCUUGCGUGGGCUGUCUCUGCCUGGCCUCCCUCUCCUCGCGGCGCGGGAGCGCAGAGGGACAGGCGGAGCGCUUACUGGCUGUGGGCAGGAGCUGCGGAAGCUGGAGAGGCCACAGAAUGGUAAAGCUGCUGAAGAAUAAAAUAAAGAGGAUCCAGCCACCAGCUGCAGACAGGAGAUAGCCUGCCUCUCCAGGUGGAUGACAGUCAAGUGAGUGCAGCUACAGAGGAGGAAGGGAGAGGGAGAGAGAGACAGACAUGUCUGAACUGUCAAAUUCUCCCAGCAGCUCCAACAGCGGGAGAAGCUGUCAGUCCUGCAGACACCAAGGUCAGUGAAGAAGAAAAAGGAGGUGGUGAUCCAGGUCCUAAAGCAGAGAUUCCCCUGCAGCCUGCAGUGAAGACCAUGGUGACACAGGCUGUCCCCCUGCAGCCCACGGAGGUCCAUGGCGGAGCAGAUAUGCACCCUGCAGCCGAUGGAGGACCCCUCGCCAGAGCAGGCAGAUUCACCCGAAGGAGGCUGUGACGCUGUGGAGAGGAGCCCACACUGGAGCAGGUUUUCUGGCAGGACCUGCAGCCCCAUGGGAGUGACACCACACUGGAACAGAAGAAGAGCACAAAGAAGGAAGGAGCAGCAGAGACAACUUGUGAUGAACUGACUGCAACCCCCUGCUCCUUCUCCCCCUGU